GACGAACGCUGGCGGCGUGCUUAACACAUGCAAGUCGAACGGAAAGGCCCUGCUUUUGUGGGGUGCUCGAGUGGCGAACGGGUGAGUAACACGUGAGUAACCUGCCCUUGACUUUGGGAUAACUUCAGGAAACUGGGGCUAAUACCGGAUAGGAGCUCCUGCUGCAUGGUGGGGGUUGGAAAGUUUCGGCGGUUGGGGAUGGACUCGCGGCUUAUCAGCUUGUUGGUGGGGUAGUGGCUUACCAAGGCUUUGACGGGUAGCCGGCCUGAGAGGGUGACCGGCCACAUUGGGACUGAGAUACGGCCCAGACUCCUACGGGAGGCAGCAGUGGGGAAUAUUGCACAAUGGGCGGAAGCCUGAUGCAGCAACGCCGCGUGCGGGAUGACGGCCUUCGGGUUGUAAACCGCUUUCGCCUGUGACGAAGCGUGAGUGACGGUAAUGGGUAAAGAAGCACCGGCUAACUACGUGCCAGCAGCCGCGGUGAUACGUAGGGUGCGAGCGUUGUCCGGAUUUAUUGGGCGUAAAGGGCUCGUAGGUGGUUGAUCGCGUCGGAAGUGUAAUCUUGGGGCUUAACCCUGAGCGUGCUUUCGAUACGGGUUGACUUGAGGAAGGUAGGGGAGAAUGGAAUUCCUGGUGGAGCGGUGGAAUGCGCAGAUAUCAGGAGGAACACCAGUGGCGAAGGCGGUUCUCUGGGCCUUUCCUGACGCUGAGGAGCGAGAGCGUGGGGAGCGAACAGGCUUAGAUACCCUGGUAGUCCACGCUGUAAACGGUGGGUACUAGGUGUGGGGUCCAUUCCACGGGUUCCGUGCCGUAGCUAACGCUUUAAGUACCCCGCCUGGGGAGUACGGCCGCAAGGCUAAAACUCAAAGGAAUUGACGGGGCCCCGCACAAGCGGCGGAGCAUGCGGAUUAAUUCGAUGCAACGCGUAGAACCUUACCUGGGUUUGACAUGGAUCGGGAGCGCUCAGAGAUGGGUGUGCCUCUUUUGGGGUCGGUUCACAGGUGGUGCAUGGCUGUCGUCAGCUCGUGUCGUGAGAUGUUGGGUUAAGUCCCGCAACGAGCGCAACCCUUGUUCACUGUUGCCAGCACGUUAUGGUGGGGACUCAGUGGAGACCGCCGGGGUCAACUCGGAGGAAGGUGGGGAUGACGUCAAGUCAUCAUGCCCCUUAUGUCCAGGGCUUCACGCAUGCUACAAUGGCUGGUACAGAGAGUGGCGAGCCUGUGAGGGUGAGCGAAUCUCGGAAAGCCGGUCUCAGUUCGGAUUGGGGUCUGCAACUCGACCUCAUGAAGUCGGAGUCGCUAGUAAUCGCAGAUCAGCAACGCUGCGGUGAAUACGUUCCCGGGGCU
This 1346-nucleotide ribosomal RNA is filed under the name uncultured bacterium. RNAcentral's name for it is "bacterial SSU rRNA". It matches the Rfam family "Bacterial small subunit ribosomal RNA", at positions 28 to 1381 of the family's 1533-position model. The record is from RNAcentral.